AGCCUCAAUCUCAGCAUUUGCUCCUGGCUGUGAGCUUCAAACCCUAUUUCCUGCGUGGCAGACAUACAGCCUAACACAUGUCAGGAAGACAGCUUGAGCAGAGCUGCUGGGAACAAGCAUAGCUACUGCCCGGGCGCCGCUCCGGGAAAAUCACGUUCGCGGUGGGAAAGAGGCUUGGAGUCCCCACGAUGGCUUCACGCUGCGUUGCACUUUGAAGAUAAAAACCCCUUCGUCUGAAUUCCGUGAUUAGUAUUUAAAGACUCAAGUGAAAUAUUUGUAGGCAGAAAAACCUAACCGAGGAAUGCCUGUGUUCAAGCAUUCAAUAGAGCCUAUUCACAGGAUAGAUUCCAGGGUUAUUAUUAGCAAUAAGGUUAUCUUUGGCAUAAUCUUUUAUGCACAACAUGCUAUUGGAUUCCACCCUCCCUUUUCGCUCAGGCCCUGGGGCAGAAGGCAGACAAACCAGAGCUGGUUCAAGCCUUGCAAGAGUUUUUCAUGCAAGUGGAGCUGAAGCCUGGCAAAGUUUGCCAUGGUUAUAUUUAGGACAAACCAUGAGAUUUUUCUGGUGCAAGAUGCACGCCCCAAAAUGCUUCUGCAUGGAGUGUGUUGCCCUUGGGGUAUCUCCAGCCCUGCCAGCACAGGCUGUAGGGGACCUGCUGCACUCUGGGGACAUCUGUGACACCUCGUGGGGGGUGACCCUUCAAUCUGAAUGGAGAGGGAUGGGUUGGGCUGGUCCUAUGCCUGCAGGUCAUGGGGGCAGCUCUGAGCAUCCUCUGGGCAGGUGAGAUUUCACAGGUCUGGACACAGCUCUGGGCUUGGACAGGUCUGGACACAGCCUGGGAGAGAAGCCCUGCCAGCCACACCACGGGGUGAUUCUCUUUUGAGGAGCUGGAAUUGGCUCUCUGCUGGCUUGGAUGUGCCCUGGGGGUCCCUCCUGCCCCCAGCCCCAGCCAGGAGGGCUGACACGAGUGGGGCUGCAGGCCCACAGUAGUGGCUUGAUCUGGGCAUGAAAGGAGAGAGAGCAGCUGUCGCCUCCUGCCUCUCUUAAUUUGGCGGUAUUAAAGAUUUAUGGUAGCUCUCAUAAAGCUGAAUGUAGGA
Cyanistes caeruleus (blue tit) is the source of this 1095-nucleotide long non-coding RNA. RefSeq lists it as uncharacterized. Lineage: Eukaryota; Metazoa; Chordata; Aves; Passeriformes; Paridae. The record is from RefSeq and is a predicted model, not a curated record.